ACAUCACAUCAAGAGUUGGGGAGACGCCCAACGCCAACCUGCCUCUCCGGGCAAGGUGGUACUCUCUGUAAAGAGAGGAUGUGGCCAAACCGGCAAAUAUACGGACAAAG
Molecule: regulatory RNA element, 110 nt
Rfam family: SAM-I/IV (S-adenosyl methionine) riboswitch aptamer
About the family: It is found upstream of a number of genes which code for proteins involved in methionine or cysteine biosynthesis. It has been found mostly in the order Actinomycetales.
Source: Rfam